CUACGGGUUGCAGCAGUGGGGAAUAUUGCACAAUGGAGGAAACUCUGAUGCAGCAACGCCGCGUGGAGGAUGACACUUUUCGGAGCGUAAACUCCUUUUAUAUAGGAAGAUAAUGACGGUACUAUAUGAAUAAGCACCGGCUAACUCCGUGCCAGCAGCCGCGGUAAUACGGAGGGUGCAAGCGUUACUCGGAAUCACUGGGCGUAAAGAGCGUGUAGGCGGAUAGAUAAGUCAGGAGUGAAAUCCUAUGGCUCAACCAUAGAACUGCUCUUGAAACUGUCUAUCUAGAAUAUGGGAGAGGGAGAUGGAAUUUCUGGUGUAGGGGUAAAAUCCGUAGAGAUCAGAAGGAAUACCGAUUGCGAAGGCGAUCUACUGGAACAUUAUUGACGCUGAGACGCGAAAGCGUGGGGAGCAAACAGGAUUAGAUACCCCAGUAGUC
RNAcentral lists this ribosomal RNA (439 nucleotides) under uncultured bacterium. RNAcentral describes it as "partial 16S ribosomal RNA". It matches the Rfam family "Bacterial small subunit ribosomal RNA", at positions 339 to 795 of the family's 1533-position model. The record is from RNAcentral.